Molecule: long non-coding RNA, 3051 nt
Filed under: Olea europaea subsp. europaea
Lineage: Eukaryota; Viridiplantae; Streptophyta; Magnoliopsida; Lamiales; Oleaceae
Source: RNAcentral
AAACACAAAGAGAACACCCCCUCAGCUUUUGGAAUGGUCCAAGUCUCAAAGGCAGGAGUCCUGUUAUUCAUUUAUAAAUCAAUCUUAACAAUUUGAUAAUUUGGGAAAAGUAAUUGGUUGCGCACCAUUUCCAGAGCUCUGAAAAUACUCAUGAGUAAGGUAAAUACUUAUGAAUAAAUCCUCCCAUCCGACAAUACCUUAAACAAAAACAAUUCAUAUUAAACAAAUAUCACAAAGAAGCUAAACAAUUUCAAGCUUAAACUAAAAAGAGAAAGCUCAUCGACCGCAAAUCACAAAUCAUAAGUCUGAAAUCACAAAUCUCACAAAUCACAAAUCUAAAAUCACAAAGUACAUGAUUGAAACUGGCAGAAUCAAAUCUGAAAUAAGUCUCAAAAAAAGACUGACCUUUUGGAACUUAGGGUUUCAACUUUGCACAAUGAAGCUGUCACGGGAGUGGCGGACUAGCUGUAUUGAUUGACUUUUGAGAUAGUUUAGGCAGGGUUUUGCAAAUGAACGGGAGGAAGCAGCUUUGGUAUCUGAUUAUCUGAUAUGUUAAAAAGGGGAGGACCAAUUUUAAGUUGGAGGGUCAGAUGACCACCAGGACACCCCCCCCGCACCCCCGCCAAUGAGCGUAUGUUCCGCGUGGUGGCAUGCUGCAUUGGCACGUGUGUAUGCAGAUAUCGUCAAAAUGCAAGUGCAAUGUGCCAACCUAGCAUGGCCUUUCAAAAUACAAGCUAGUUUGGCCCAUCCUUGUCUACUUAAUUGGAAAUUUCAUAAACUGGAUUCAGUUAAACCAAACUAACUAAACUUCAGAAGCAAAAAAUGCAUGUAAGUUAAUAUUUGAGGAUUUAGCAUUUACUGCUGUUGGGGAACACAAGAAUGGAUGAAACCAUGAAAUAAGUUCAUUAGAAGUCGUUGAAAAUACUAUUAAGAAAAUUAUGUAUUGUGCAAACAGAGUGCAAAUAUAGUGCAAACUAAUCUGAAUCAACCUUUCAGCAAUUUGAUCUUGUGCAUUAUUUAACUGCCUUUGUGCACCUAAUCAUAUUUAUGCAGAUUUGCUCAGUGAAGGGUGGGUGUGAAUCAACACAAAAAUCAAAUUAAAAGGAAAAUACCACAAACAGAAAGAAAUAUAUGUACAACAAAAAUUUAAAGACCUAGACCAUAUUUCAAAAAUGUCAGACAUGAAUGCUGGGAUAAGGAGUACUGAUGGAUUCUUUCUGGGUAAAAAGAUAAGUUGAGGAAGGAGCAAUAUUGAACCCUAUAUACAUUUAGAAAAACGGAGACAAAAACAUUGUCAACAUAGAGAAGCGUGGUAAAUGGAGGAAAUAUAGUGACUUACAGCAAAUAUAAUGUUGAACAAGAGGUUCAGGAAGUGAUAAUGCCUUCAUAAAUACUGACACCAUCCAUAAAGAGCAUACAGAUAUAUAGAUAAACAAUGACCUUUUACUUAAUCUUUAUCUUCAAAUUCGUUAUACUAUUUUAAUAUCAUUUACUCCAAUUAUGAUCUGAUUCAGAUAUAUACAAUCUCAAACAGAUGAUAAAAAUGAUCGAAUGUCCCACAGAUUACUGUCACCAUAGAAUUACAUGAUUUAUGACCAAGAUGAGAAGACCAUGGUAAACCUUGAUGAGUUUUAUGUCAAUGGCAUUCUCAUUUGCAGAGGCGUGUAUCAUUGUUAGUUACACCUUAUUAUAAAUAAAUCAAGCAAAUAAAGGAUUUUGACCUCAUCUUCACCUUCCCAAAAGAUAUUGAUUCUAGGUAGCUCUAACUUUUGUUGCAUGUAUUCACAAGGAACAGUAAAUUUCAUAAAUUGGAAUGGAUUCACCUAUUUUUAUUUAUUAUUCAGUCAAAACAAACAAAUUUAACUCCAAAAGCAAAAAAUGCAUCAGAAUUAUUGUUGGGAGGAUUCAACAUUAGUUGCUGCAUCUUGGGGAUGAGAACACAGAUGCUAGUCCUGAUCUCUUGCAGAAUGAAUGAAACAGAGUUCAUUGGGAAUGGUCGAAACUACUAUAAGAAAAAAUUUCUCAACUUAUUUUCCUUCUUUUUAGACCUUUUUUUGCUGGGGGUUCAGAAACAACAAUAUAAACUGUGCAUAGCAUGAAAAAUUACUACAGUUGAGCAUCCCGUGUUAAAAAUUGAAGUGAGAUUCAAAUUUAAUCUAGUCUAAGAGUAUAGCACAUUUUCCUUGUUUGUUUGCCGGGGGAGCGGAUAGUUUUACAUAAAAUUGUUCCUCUUGGUUUUGUGAUAUUAAAGCAUUUAACUGAUAAUGAAUUCGGUAAACAAAUUAACUGAUAUUAAAUUAAAUCACCAACCCCUUCAAUCUCUCUAAAAGGUCAUUCAUUAAGCAUAAAUUUAGUGGGAAAUCCAAAUUUGCUAAUCUUACAUUUAAAAAAAAAAAAAAAAAGUAUAUAAAAAAAAGCCUCCACACACAAAAAUAUUUCGUCUACCGUUCUUUCUAAUUACAAUACCAAGAAAAAUAGGAAUGAUAAAAUGCCAACUAAACUCAAAAAUCACAAGAAAUUACUCAAAUUCCUAACAGACCCAACAUCUCCAAAUAGACAGAUAUAAUUGCACCUUGAAGGUUCUCAUAUAUCAUAAAAGAAUCACAUAACUUAUAGCCCUACACACAGGAGAAGGGUGUGUGGGGGUGUGUGUGAGCACACUACUCUCUCCACAAGCAAGAAAAACAAUACUCCCAUGUUUUGAUUAAAAUCCAGUAGAUCUAAUCACGUUAUCAAGAAUUCCAAGUUUCCAAUAACAAAAAGUUAAAAAUCAAUCAAAAUUGAUCCUGCACCGCAUGAUCAGUAUCAUAUCCAUCGGCUAGCAACUCUAAAUCAGUCACAAAGAAAGUUCAAUCAAAUUAACAGUGUGAAAUGGAGAAAGGAAGAAUUGGUCACCUCGAAAAGCUCGCCAACUUCUGCACUAAAACUGCAAGAAUAGGAGUCAAUUCAAAGAAAGAUCAAUCAAAUUAACGGUGUGAAAUAGAGAAAGGAAGAGUUGGGUCACCUUGAAAUGCUCGCCAAAUUGUGCACUAAAACUCUAAGAGAAAGGAG